UCCCUGGAGGACUAGUGGGUAGGCCUCGGUGCUUUCACUGCUGAGGCCCAGGUUCCAUUCCCAGCCAGGGAA
This is a non-coding RNA of Pangasius djambal, 72 nucleotides long. Lineage: Eukaryota; Metazoa; Chordata; Actinopteri; Siluriformes; Pangasiidae. The record is from the annotation of a GenBank genome assembly.